UUUUUUUUUUUUUAUUUGGAGAACCCCGAGUUAUACGCGAAAUCAAGUACUCGCAACGCAUUGUGUUGCGAGAGUGUUUCCUUUCGCGUUGCGAGUUAGCACAAUUUUUCAUUGCCGUGCAAUUGUUGACAAAUAAAAUAGUGAUCGCGGUGUCGUGAGUAACGAUCGUUGAGUGAUCGCGGGGGUUCCAUUUAUAAAAAUCUCUGCCUUAGCUGAUCUUUAAUCCAGUUCAUUUUCUCACCAUAGAGUUGUCUUCGACCAUCGCUCAUCGCUUAUUCAUUCGUAAUUCAUUUUCCUCCACUUUGUUCCCGUAAUUUAUUCAUCAAAGCGGGCCGCUUUGACGAAACGAAGUGGACAAGGUACGUCAUAUACAUUUCACAGAAGUCUUGUUUGGAAGUUUUGUUUAUUUUCAAAUUCUUUUAAAUUGCAUCAGCCGAUGCCAUCCUACGCGCUGUAAUAUUGUCGAUAGAGAAUCGAGUUUGUGGAAAAGUUCGAGACGCGCAUAGAAGCAACUUUGAAACGCGUUGAAACUCGGGCCAAAUUGGAGUACAAAGUUAAUAAUAAAAAAAGAAAUGAGAGCUAGAGUUAUAUUGCUUCUCAGUAUCGGGCACACACAAAAAAAAAAAAAAAACAAUCGCUCGGCUAUGGAAGUUUUAAUAUCUGCGACGCCACAUCAGCCGAAGAAGAUCAGAAGAGUUUGGAGAGGCUAAAGAGUUUCUCGGAAAAUUUUCUCCUAGUGUUCCAUUUAUAUCUUUCUUUCAGGUGUAAGCUUCGAACUUACCUGCCAAGCAGAUUAGGAAGUGAAGUUGGAUUGUGGAGGAGGAUGUGCAAGGAUCAAUAAAAUCCGAUAUCAAAUAGAGAAAUAGACUCUUUAUUGCUCUUCUCGAUAACUUGCGAGUGUUGCACCUGCUCUUUUACAUUUUUUUUUUUGCAAUAUGAUCGACACUCUUCCCUUCCUCGAUAAUAAAAUCCCACGACAUUCCGAGGUGCGAGGAGCAUCUAUCACCGAAUGGCACUCGGAUUUGUACUCGCGAUAUCCCUCACCGCUUCACAUGUAUCAAGUAUAUAAAACAUUAAUAACAGCUAGUAUCUUUGAUUAUUAUAUACGGAGUAUAGAGUAAACUGAAGACUUUCAAUUCGAAAAGGAAAUCUAUAAUGCAAGGCAGGAGUUCCUUCUUACAAAAUGUGCUUGUAUCUCUUGGUACAAAAA
Linepithema humile (Argentine ant) is the source of this 1210-nucleotide non-coding RNA. Lineage: Eukaryota; Metazoa; Arthropoda; Insecta; Hymenoptera; Formicidae. The record is from RefSeq and is a predicted model, not a curated record.